AGCUCCAAUAGCGUAUAUUAAAGUUGUUGUGGUUAAAAAGCUCGUAGUUGGAUCUCGGCAAACUGAGGGCGGUUUACUUGCUAGUACUACUGCCCUAUAGUUUGUAUUAUUGCUGGAGGUUUAGAGGUGAUCUUAAUCGAUUGUCUCUGGAUGCCAGCAGGUUUACUUUGAAAAAAUUAGAGUGCUCAAAGCAGGCUUAUACGCCUGAAUAUUCGUGCAUGGAAUAAUAGAAUAGGAACUUGUUCUUAUUUUGUUGGUUUUCGAGAAUCAAGUUAAUGAUUAAUAGGGACAGUUGGGAGCAUUUGUAUUCAAGCGAAAGAGGUGAAAUUCUUGGACCGUUUGAAGACAAACUACUGCGAAAGCAUUUGCCAAGAAUGUUUUCA
This 383-nucleotide ribosomal RNA is filed under the name marine copepod environmental sample. RNAcentral describes it as "SSU rRNA". It matches the Rfam family "Eukaryotic small subunit ribosomal RNA", at positions 587 to 972 of the family's 1831-position model. Lineage: Eukaryota; Metazoa; Arthropoda; Copepoda. The record is from RNAcentral.